AAUUUAUGUAACCAGCUUUUUCUGUUUAGUAUACUUGUAUUAUCUAUACAGACGCUCGAGGCGCAUGCGCGCCGUCGGCGUCGGCGAUGUUGUGCUGUCUCGCUGACGUAGGAUGCGCGGCUCGCGUGCUGCGAGCUAUAGAGCACCAGAGACGCACAGUGCGUUCGGCUGCACAAACAACGAAGCGAAGUUGACGUGCACCGUCAACGGCUACGCUCAACCACCUCGGUGGUGGAGCAAGAGCAGCAGUCCAACUUCCGCUGCUGCCAUGAGCGUCGUGCGCACAUUAGCGUUUUCGGCGUUCCUGCUGAGCUGCUGUGUGUAUGCUCUGGUGCGAGCAGUGAAGGCCAAGCUAACGUUAUCUAUUAUUUUGCUGGCCGCAGAUUUAUGCUGACGGUUCUCCCUCGGCCUCAUCUCCCGCAGCAUCGCGAUGCGACGCCUGCAACGCCGUGCACUAGCUGGCCGAGCCCGUCCUGACGCCAGCGUUGCGAGAUGCCUGGUGGCUGUCGGGGCGCUGUUCCUCCGCGCCAACGGGACGGUGGUCUGAUGAUGAUGACGCAGAUAAGGCAGUUCGCACGUUAAACCAAGAAGACCACUCUCUCAAGGACUCUCUCAAGGACUGACGCUACGAGACAGAUUCACAAUCUAGUACGCACACUUUCCUUAGCUGAAUGGAAUACCGCACAUGUACAGCGCACCACAAUGCACAGACGAAACUCUUCGUUACAACUCGUACCUCCGGCUGGACUGCACCGACGCGAAGCGUCUAUACUCUGUCGGUUGGGGUUAGGAGUGGCCUUCACGAAAGCUUAUUAUGCACUAAUUGGAAAGACUGACAGUCCUGAAUGUGAUGUCGGCGGAUUCGAGGAGAACAAUAGCUACUUAUUGUGCCGCGGUACCCAGUUUGAAGCACAAAGGCAAUCUAUGUCCAACGCAUUCAGGAAACUAGAUGAUCGUCCUCUGAGUGAACAUACAAUACUAGAACGGCGUCCCCACCGGUUAUCGGCUCAGAAGGCAGUGGAGGCACUUUUGUGCUUUCUGAGAACGUCUGGUUUGUACGAGCGCCUUUAACUUAGUAGUACUGGGAGUACUACCGUUCACGUCUCUCUCUCUUUCUCUCCCUCUCUCUCUCUCUCUCUCUCUCUCUCUCUCUCUCUCGUGGCGGUGGUGAAGCUACAGAUAAAGUUAUCCUGGCAGAAGGCCGGCAAUCGCUCCUCUUGAGCUUCUCUUUCGGUGUCAUGAAUAUCCGUCUACUAUAUUCAGCCAGUCCAGUCUCUCGCAUGAAUGUGCGUAACAUGCGCUACCCUUCCUUGCGCACUAUCUGCGCUCCUUUCGAGAAAACUAACGGUUCUGCAUGUGGAGAGAAGAUUCUCUUUUUCCUCACCUUCUAGAGAGAAAUAAAAUAAACACUUCACUUA
Molecule: long non-coding RNA, 1418 nt
Organism: Dermacentor andersoni
Lineage: Eukaryota; Metazoa; Arthropoda; Arachnida; Ixodida; Ixodidae
Source: RefSeq, a predicted model, not a curated record